RNAcentral lists this ribosomal RNA (478 nucleotides) under uncultured bacterium. RNAcentral's name for it is "partial 16S ribosomal RNA". It matches the Rfam family "Bacterial small subunit ribosomal RNA", at positions 28 to 507 of the family's 1533-position model. The record is from RNAcentral.
GAUGAACGCUAGCGGCAGGCCUAACACAUGCAAGUCGAGGGAGAAGCCCUUUCGGGGGCAGAAACCGGCGCACGGGUGCGUAACGCGUAUGCAACCUACCUUUCACAGGGGGAUAGCCCGAAGAAAUUUGGAUUAAUACCCCAUAAUAUUAUUGGAUGGCAUCAUUUGAUAAUUAAAACUGCGGUGGUGAAAGAUGGGCAUGCGUCCUAUUAGCUAGUUGGAGUGGUAACGGCACCCCAAGGCUACGAUAGGUAGGGGUCCUGAGAGGGAGAUCCCCCACACUGGUACUGGGACAGGGACCAGACUCCUACGGGAGGCAGCAGUGAGGAAGAUUGGUCAAUGGUCGGAAGACUGAACCAGCCAUGCCGCGUGCAGGAAGAAUGCCUUAUGGGUUGUAAACUGCUUUUAUAUGGGAAGAAUAAGGCGUACGUGUACGUUGAUGACGGUACCAUAUGAAUAAGCAUCGGCUAACUCCGUG